AUGUGCAGCUGCGGUAGGACUCUCAGCUACGACCGGCAGCUGCACAUCCACGUCCAAGCGCUAGCUAGGAUCGUCAACAACGGCCGGCAGCAGGACAUCCAUGUGGAGGUGGCGCUGUCGGGCGAGGUCAGGUACCAGGCGCACUCCAGCGAGUGCAAGUUCCAGGCCAGAUGCACGCUCAAGAUGCAGGGCACGCCGGCCGUCGUGUACUCGUGUUCCAGAAGGUCUAAGUGCAAAGCUCGCUCCGGCCGGCAGAUAAGAACUGGAACUGACUCUCCUUUUAACCCCAAGUACUCAUCUCUGCAGUGGCAAUGCUUUGAUUUUAUCCAGCUAAUAGUUGUAUGA
RNAcentral lists this ribosomal RNA (345 nucleotides) under Triticum aestivum (bread wheat). RNAcentral's name for it is "partial small subunit ribosomal RNA". The record is from RNAcentral. Lineage: Eukaryota; Viridiplantae; Streptophyta; Magnoliopsida; Poales; Poaceae.